Molecule: ribosomal RNA, 301 nt
Filed under: uncultured bacterium
Lineage: Bacteria
Description: partial 16S ribosomal RNA
Rfam family: Bacterial small subunit ribosomal RNA
Source: RNAcentral
CAGCAGCCGCGGGAAUACGAAGGGGGCUAGCGUUGCUCGGAAUGACUGGGCGUAAAGGGCGCGUAGGCGGAUUGUUUAGUUAGGCGUGAAAUUCCUGGGCUUAACCUGGGGACUGCGCUUAAUACAGGCAGUCUAGAGUGAGGAAGAGGGUCGUGGAAUUCCCAGUGUAGAGGUGAAAUUCGUAGAUAUUGGGAAGAACACCGGUGGCGAAGGCGGCAACCUGGUCCUUGACUGACGCUGAGGCGCGAAAGCGUGGGGAGCAAACAGGAUUAGAUACCCCUGUAGUCCCUGUCUCUUAUAC